GUCUAUGGCCAUGCCACUCUGAAUGUGCCUGAUCUUGGAAGUUAAGCAGGGUUGGGCCUGGUUAGUACUUGGAUGGGAGACCACCUAGGAAUACCAGGUGCUGUGGGAG
RNAcentral lists this ribosomal RNA (109 nucleotides) under Pteropus alecto (black flying fox). The record is from RNAcentral. Lineage: Eukaryota; Metazoa; Chordata; Mammalia; Chiroptera; Pteropodidae. RNAcentral also lists the same sequence under 1 other name.